UACGGGGGGGGCAAGCGUUGUUCGGAAUUACUGGGCGGAAAGCGUGCGCAGGCGGUUCUCCAAGUCCGGUGUGAAAGCCCCGGGCUCAACCUGGGAAUGGCAGUGGAAACUAGGGGACUGGAAUCUGGCAGAGGGGGGUGGAAUGCCGCGUGUAGCAGUGAAAUGCGCAGAGAUCGGGAGGGACACCCGUAGCGAAGGCGGCGCUCUGGGCCGGUACUGACGCUGAGGAGCGAAAGCGUGGGGAGCAAACAGG
Molecule: ribosomal RNA, 253 nt
Filed under: uncultured bacterium
Lineage: Bacteria
Description: partial 16S ribosomal RNA
Rfam family: Bacterial small subunit ribosomal RNA
Source: RNAcentral